This 2550-nucleotide long non-coding RNA is filed under the name Heterocephalus glaber (naked mole-rat). RNAcentral describes it as "lncRNA (ENSHGLG00100050444.1)". The record is from RNAcentral. Lineage: Eukaryota; Metazoa; Chordata; Mammalia; Rodentia; Bathyergidae.
GUGUGUUCCCAUUGCCUCUUUCAGAUCACUGGCUUGGAGUUUAUCACAAUACAUUAUCAUGCCUUGCUUGUACAUAUCUGGCUAUAUUAAAGAGUCCUUGAGAACAGGGCUUAUUAUUUCUCUUUUUAUCUCUGGUGCCUAGAUUAGCAUCUAGUGCAUAGUAUGUAGUCAGUGUUUGAGUGAAUGAAUGAAUGGAAAGCAGACUGCGGUGAUCAACUGGAGUCCUCGAAGAAGCAUCUGGGUAGAGGCGAAGCCCAAGGAGAUUGCCAACUUACACACCGUCACUGCCUUGGCCUGGAAGCGGGCGGGAUGCCUCAGGACUCUGCACAGGCGCACUCUGUGGUGCAGUGGAACAGUCUGACUGCUGCCUCCGAAGGAGCAUUUACAGGAAUAAGUUUGAGCUGACCUGUGUGGGACCCAGGCAGACAGGAAACCACUGGCGAUUAUAGUGAGGAAGAGGACACAGAUUCUCUUCUUGACCAAAAUUUACUCUGGAUCCUCUGGGCGAUCUUUUUUUGUACCAAGGAUUGAACUCAAGACCUUCCAAGACAGGCACAGCACCACUGAGCUCAAGUCCCCAGCCCUGGGCCAUCUUGUCUACCAGGGACUCUGUGAGUCACAGGAAAUACACAGGUGAGUAAGACUUGGCUCAUCCUUAGGAUCAACCACUGUGGACAAAUGGCAUCCAACAAUGUCACCAUCUCCAUCAUCGCCACCAUCAUCACCAUAACCAGGAUCAUGAAUUGCUGGACACCCACUAUAAGCCAGCUCUAGGGCUAAGGAGUUAAGUAAAUUCUAUUUUUGAAACAUGCUGAUAAUGUGGAACUACAAAUUCAUCCUUCAGGGACAAAUGUCAGAGACCUCAGGUUGCCCAGGAUUGGGCUCAGUCUGCACAGAGAGAGUGGUUUGGUUCCUGUCCCUCCACACAGGGCUUCUGUGGAGAGCAUCAGUACUGCCUGUCAGACUCCUCCCUGUCCUACGAGGCUAAGGCCUGUGGCACAGCCAGCUCUGUUCACAGUCACUUCCUGCCCUCUCUCCCAGUGCCCCACUGAUCUAAGUAGCCAGAUCCCACCAUAGAUGGGACUCCUGAUGGUCACUUGUAGGAACAUAUGUGAACAUGCAUGUGUGUCUUCCCUGAGCAAACCAGAGCAAGAGCUUUUGCACACUCCCACCACCUCAGCCCCUAUGACCCUCACAUGGGGUCAUAAACUGCACUUCUGUCAGCUGCUACAGAUGAACCUCCUCGGUUUCCAUAGGCCCACCUGCCUUCCCACUCAUGCCAAGACCCCGCUCCUGUCACCCAUGCAAGCAGUUGUUCUGCAUCAGCACAAGUUUCUGCUCUAGAGGAACAUCCUCCAAAACCUACACAUAGAACAUGCUCCCUCAGAUCUAAACACUGCUUCUUUCUUGAUCCUGUCUCCCUCUUCAACUACUUUCCCCUUUCUCUCUAUAAUGAAACUCUUCAAGAGUUAUCUGUACUCCCUGUUACCAAAUCUUCACCUUCCAUUUCCUUUGAGCCCUGUAAUCAGGCUGAUGCCUGCUCUGUUCUGAGUGGUUUCAAGCUUGCUGAUGGCCUCCAUGGUGCCAAGGUUCCCAGGCCUUGCUGAAUUGGACACAGCAAGAGUACUUGAUGCAGUUCAUUUCUCCCUCCUCUCUCAAACAGUUUUCCUUUGCUUUCCUUGUGCUGGGGAUUGAACUCAGCACCUGGUGCAUGCUAAGCAUAGCACUCUACUGAGCUACAAUGCUACUGCCAAAACAGGUGUUUUGUUUCAGUUUUUGUUUUUCUUUACUGGGGUUUGAACCCAGGGUCUUUGCACUGAGCUGCAUCCCUAGUCCUUUUUUAUUUUUAUUUUGAGAGAGGGACUCACUAAGUCACCAAGUUGCCUAGGCUAAGCUUGUUGCUUGCACUGUGAUCUUCCUGCCUCUUCCUCCCAGAGUUCUGGGAUUAUAGGCAUAUACCACCAUGUCCAGCUCUUCAUUUGACUUUCAAGAUAACACUCAAUCUGAGUUUUCUCUGCCUUGUAGGGCAUUCCUUCCUGGUGUCUUCUGCUGAUUUCCCCCUCAUCUUUCAGUCUUCAAAACCGGGAACAGGUACUAUCUGCCAAGUCCCGUCCACCAUCUGGCCCUGCCACUUCUAUAAACACAAGUUGUCAGAACGAGGUCAUUUGUUUUCCUGGUCUGUGUCAGCUCAACAGAACUGAAUAGAUGAAUGGUCUGAAAGCUGAAAAUACUUCUCUCUGGUCCUGUCCAGGAAAGGUCUAAAUAGUGGAGUGCCCCAGGCUCAGGCCUUGUCUUCUCAAACCACCUUGGGCCCCUCAGGUGACCUCAUCCAGACCAGGUCCCAGGCAUCAACCAGAGGAUGGCAUGUGUCCCUUCACGUCUGCAGCCCAGGUGUCUUUUCUGAAUUCCCAACCACAUACUGCACAUAUAUCCAGCUCCCUCAGACACAUUGAGAACUUAACAGUGCUGGGCACUCAGCCCCACCCCCCCUUCCAGCAGGAAAAAACCCUGUUUCUCCUGCAUGGUUCCUACAUCUCAGCAAGUGGCAGG